GUAGUGAUGAAUAGUCCCAACCAGGACGAAACAGCUGUCCACUAC
RNAcentral lists this non-coding RNA (45 nucleotides) under Trichobilharzia regenti. Lineage: Eukaryota; Metazoa; Platyhelminthes; Trematoda; Strigeidida; Schistosomatidae. The record is from RNAcentral.